UGCGAGCGUUGUCCGGAAUUACUGGGCGUAAAGAGCUCGUAGGUGGUUUGUCGCGUUGUUCGUGAAAUCUCACGGCUUAACUGUGAGCGUGCGGGCGAUACGGGCAGACUUGAGUACUGCAGGGGAGACUGGAAUUCCUGGUGUAGCGGUGGAAUGCGCAGAUAUCAGGAGGAACACCGGUGGCGAAGGCGGGUCUCUGGGCAGUAACUGACGCUGAGGAGCGAAAGCGUGGGGAGCGAACAGGAUUAGAUACCCUGGUAGUCCACGCCGUAAACGGUGGGUACUAGGUGUGGGUUUCCUUCCUUGGGAUCCGUGCCGUAGCUAACGCAUUAAGUACCCCGCCUGGGGAGUACGGCCGCAAGGCUAAAACUCAAAGAAAUUGACGGGGGCCCGCACAAGCGGCGGAGCAUGUGGAUUAAUUCGAUGCAACGCGAAGAACCUUACCUGGGUUUGACAUGCACAGGACGCCGGCAGAGAUGUCGGUUUCCUUGUGGCCUUGUGUGCAGCUGGUGCAUGGCUGUCGUCAGCUCGUGUCCGUGAGAUGUUGGGUUAAGUCCCGCAACGAGCGCAACCCGUGUCUCAUGUUGCCAGCGGGUAAUGCCGGGGACUCGUGAGAGACUGCCGGGGUCAACUCGGAGGAAGGUGGGGAUGACGUCAAGUCAUCAUGCCCCUUAUGUCCAGGGCUUCACACAUGCUACAAUGGCCGGUACAAAGGGCUGCGAUGCCGCGAGGUUAAGCGAAUCCUUUUAAAGCCGGUCUCAGUUCGGAUCGGGGUCUGCAACUCGACCCCGUGAAGUCGGAGUCGCUAGUAAUCGCAGAUCAGCAACGCU
This 830-nucleotide ribosomal RNA is filed under the name uncultured Mycobacterium sp. Its description in RNAcentral is "bacterial SSU rRNA". It matches the Rfam family "Bacterial small subunit ribosomal RNA", at positions 533 to 1358 of the family's 1533-position model. The record is from RNAcentral. Lineage: Bacteria; Bacillati; Actinomycetota; Actinomycetes; Mycobacteriales; Mycobacteriaceae.